Long non-coding RNA from Oreochromis niloticus (Nile tilapia), 628 nucleotides. RefSeq lists it as uncharacterized. NCBI's taxonomy places the organism in Eukaryota, Metazoa, Chordata, Actinopteri, Cichliformes, Cichlidae. The transcript is spliced from 2 exons. The record is from RefSeq and is a predicted model, not a curated record.
UCGGGAUGACAACAAUGCACAGCGCUGAGCCAAUCGGGUCACGCGCCCAGCUUCGAGCCGUUAGCUCAUUGGCUGUCUGAGCUGAACGCUCCCCUGGUUGAAAGCAGAGGAGCUCAGUUCACUGGGAGCUGCACAACAAAGCGGAGGAAGAUCAGAAAGCUCGGCAAACACUCAGAAAAGAUUAUAAUUAGUGGAAUUCUGAGCUGUAAUCAGGAGGAACACAAACACAGCAGGAUGCUGUAUCUGAGGUCUCAUCCAUUUUCCAACAUCUGCUCAGUCCAUUGUGGCUCCUGUGGACAGCACGUCCUCCAGCUGAGACACAUCUUCCCUCCAGCCUGUCCCGGGUCUGCCUCAGGGUCUCAUCCUAACUGGAAACCAGGACUCAUCACCUGCUGAUUCACCUCUACUGCUUCCACUCCAUGCAGAGCGUCUGAGUGUGUCACGUGACCGUAUAAGGAUAUCCUCUCUCUGUGACAUCACAUAGAGCAAAGAGUAGAAAAAUUAAACCUUUAGAAGCUGACAGUUAUGGUGUGUAUGGUGUGUCCACAUUAUGAUCAUGAAUUAUGUGAUCAGCUCUGACUGAUCUGAUGGUCAGUGUCUCCUCUGCUCAGUGAAUUCAGGCAGCAUA